GAAGUGUUGUUAUUACAGGCGUGAGCCACCGCGCCCGGCCCCAUAAAUUUUUAAUAGGAGAAAAGGGAAACUGUGAACCCUGACAGAUAUAAUAGAUUCCUCUUCAAGGGCCUAACUUUCUUGUUCCUUGUUCUUAGGACCAACUUUUUUGUACCUCUUUGUACCUAGACACCCGCUCCGUAAACAACCCAAACCGCCUGUUCCAAUCUGCGACCCGAACCCCUUCCUUAUUUGGAAAGUAGCCAAUCGGGUCAGCCUAGAUUGUGAGGUCAGACCCCGGCCAAUGGGGGAAGGACACAGAGGCAAUAACGGCGUUUAGGGUUAAAAACCCCUUUCAAACUGGGAGGCCGAGGCGGGCGGAUCAACUGAGUUCGGGAGUUCAAAACCAGCCUGACCAACAUGUUGCGGAAGGCCCUCGUGACUGGACCUCCUGCCAAACAACUCGUUACAAAAAACUGAGGGUACCAGACUGCGCCAAAGCUUCAUGAGACCUGUCCUCAUCUGUGCAGAAAUGAGUGGCCGACUCUGGAACCCAGGCUGUUGCUUACCACCUUGGUGGUGAAACCUCCAUACUCUAGUCCUGAAGGGGCGAGGCCUUAAGCAUUAUCCAAUCAGGGACACUGGGCUGGAAACCGUCCAAUCAGACACCCAGCUGGAGCGAACAGGUCGACUUCCGAGUUUGGCGGGGCCUUUGUCUCUCACUGCACCUGGAGCUCCAGGUCUCAUCUUCACUACUCUGUGUCCUCUGCUGCUGGAGGCCCAGCCCUGUGACCUGACGGUUUUGGGAGAUCCACAGCUAAGACGCCAGGACCUCCUGGAAGCCUAGAAAUGACUAUGGAGGAUUCACCACCAGACCAGGAAGCAACAGGCUGGGCUCCAGAGUCGGAUACCGCACUCAUCAGACUAGGAGGAUUCACCACCAGACUGGAAAGCAACAGCCUGGGCUCCAGAGUCAGCCACCCAUCUCUGCACAGACAAGGAGAGGUCUCAUGAAGGUUCCGCGUGAUCUGGGACCCUAGCUCUUUUUGUAAUGAGUUCUUUGGCAUGAGGCCCAGUCAUGAGGGCCCUUCGCGAUUGGGCUCAAAGAACACAAAAAGGUCAACUUUUUUUGUGUGUGUGUGAUUGUCUAUUGUUUUUCAAUAACCAAUGUAUUGGAAUAGAUUGAAAUAGAGAUUUCUCCAAAACAGCGCAGGAUGAACACCUCAAGGGGUUCACAUAACCUGUUCCAAGACUUGGUGACCAUUGUUUGUGUCCACGUUCAAUAAGUUCAAAUUUAAUAUUUAAGUUUUCCUCCACAAAUUCCCCUGUCUUGA
Molecule: long non-coding RNA, 1313 nt
Filed under: Homo sapiens (human)
Lineage: Eukaryota; Metazoa; Chordata; Mammalia; Primates; Hominidae
Description: HSALNT0396531
Source: RNAcentral